CCCAGACAGCCAGGAUGUUGGCUUAGAAGCAGCCAUCAUUUAAAGAAAGCGUAAUAGCUCACUGGUCGAGUCGGCCUGCGCGGAAGAUGUAACGGGGCUAAACCAUGCACCGAAGCUGCGGCAGCGACGCUUAUGCGUUGUUGGGUAGGGGAGCGUUCUGUAAGCCUGUGAAGGUGUGUCGUGAGGCAUGCUGGAGGUAUCAGAAGUGCGAAUGCUGACAUAAGUAACGAUAAAGCGGGUGAAAAGCCCGCUCGCCGGAAGACCAAGGGUUCCUGUCCAACGUUAAUCGGGGCAGGGUGAGUCGACCCCUAAGGC
This 315-nucleotide ribosomal RNA is filed under the name Salmonella enterica subsp. enterica serovar Dublin. RNAcentral describes it as "partial 23S ribosomal RNA". It matches the Rfam family "Bacterial large subunit ribosomal RNA", at positions 1084 to 1397 of the family's 2925-position model. Lineage: Bacteria; Pseudomonadati; Pseudomonadota; Gammaproteobacteria; Enterobacterales; Enterobacteriaceae. The record is from RNAcentral. RNAcentral also lists the same sequence under 1 other name.